RNAcentral lists this transfer RNA (72 nucleotides) under Heterocephalus glaber (naked mole-rat). It matches the Rfam family "tRNA". From Rfam's summary of the family: Transfer RNA (tRNA) molecules are approximately 80 nucleotides in length. Their secondary structure includes four short double-helical elements and three loops (D, anti-codon, and T loops). Further hydrogen bonds mediate the characteristic L-shaped molecular structure. tRNAs have two regions of fundamental functional importance: the anti-codon, which is responsible for specific mRNA codon recognition, and the 3' end, to which the tRNAs corresponding amino acid is attached (by aminoacyl-tRNA synthetases). tRNAs cope with the degeneracy of the genetic code in two manners: having more than one tRNA (with a specific anti-codon) for a particular amino acid; and 'wobble' base-pairing, i.e. permitting non-standard base-pairing at the 3rd anti-codon position. Lineage: Eukaryota; Metazoa; Chordata; Mammalia; Rodentia; Bathyergidae. The record is from Rfam by way of RNAcentral.
UGGGGUGUAGUUCAGUGGUAUAGUACAUGCUUAGGAUGCAGGAGGCCCUGGGUUCCAUCCCCAGCACUGCAA